Malus domestica (apple) is the source of this 705-nucleotide non-coding RNA. NCBI's taxonomy places the organism in Eukaryota, Viridiplantae, Streptophyta, Magnoliopsida, Rosales, Rosaceae. The record is from RefSeq and is a predicted model, not a curated record.
AAAUUAAAGAAGAAAGCGAGAUAGAAAAGGAUAUUGAAUGCCAUACUUGGCCGCUAAGCUCUCUCUCUCUCUCUCUCUCUGUAAAAGUGUCACUUAAUUAACAACAAACAUCUAGAUAUACAAGAGUUUUAUGUAUAUAUAGCUGAUCAACUUCAAUAGCUACGUUGCAAUUUCAGCAAGGAAGGAAGCUGAAGAAAUAUCCAUAGGUCUUUUUUGAUCAAGAGAGAGAGAGAGAGAGAUCAGAUCAUCAUCUCCAUCAGAGAGGAAUGCCACCACCAUGGGGACCGCCGGGAGGAGGAGGUCCGGGAGGGUUUGGUUGCUUAGGUGACCUCUGCAGCGGUAUAUGCAGCUUUAUCUCAUCUUGUGCUUAUAUCUUGUGCUGCUGCUGCUUGUUUGAGAGCUGCUGUGGACCAGUGUUCGGCGGCGGCCCUGGCGGACCAGGUGGCCCUGGCGGUGGCCCCCCUCGUUGGUGAACAUUAUCCACUCGCUACGUUCCAGGCUUGUCGAUCAAGAUGUUCUUGUAGCUUUUAUCUGUAAUUUUUCUCUGUUGAGUUUGAAUAAAUGUUAUGUAAUAAACAAGUGAGAGAGAGAUGUUGCAAAUGCUGUGUGUGUUGCAACUUGCUCCUCAGUACUCGGUAUUCUCCCUUUGAAUUGUAGUCAAUUUUUGUGUUUAAUUUCAUCAAUUUGCAAAUUUCCUUCAUGUUU